UCACAUUACGGUGGCUGUCCAGAUUGAUG
This 29-nucleotide non-coding RNA is filed under the name Homo sapiens (human). Lineage: Eukaryota; Metazoa; Chordata; Mammalia; Primates; Hominidae. The record is from RNAcentral.